UACGUAGGGUGCGGGCGUUGUCCGGAAUUAUUGGGCGUAAAGAGCUUGUAGGCGGUCUGUCGCGUCUGCUGUGAAAAUCCGGGGCUCAACCCCGGACUUGCAGUGGGUACGGGCAGACUAGAGUGUGGUAGGGGAGACUGGAAUUCCUGGUGUAGCGGUGAAAUGCGCAGAUAUCAGGAAGAACACCCGUGGCGAAAGCGGCUCUCUGGAACGGUACUGACGCUGAGACGCGAAAGCGUGGGGAGCGAACAGG
RNAcentral lists this ribosomal RNA (253 nucleotides) under uncultured bacterium. Its description in RNAcentral is "partial 16S ribosomal RNA". It matches the Rfam family "Bacterial small subunit ribosomal RNA", at positions 524 to 776 of the family's 1533-position model. The record is from RNAcentral.